Dermacentor silvarum is the source of this 718-nucleotide long non-coding RNA. RefSeq lists it as uncharacterized. Lineage: Eukaryota; Metazoa; Arthropoda; Arachnida; Ixodida; Ixodidae. The record is from RefSeq and is a predicted model, not a curated record. The transcript has 3 exons.
GACCACGUUGGCUGUGCGCGAGUGCUCGUUGCAGUGAGGUGGUAGUUGAAUUUUAUAUUAGAAGUGCCUAGGCAAAAUGUGCUUCUUAUCGUGUGCAUUAACCAUCGCACAACCUCUGGACUCGUGAAAUGCCGUUGUUCGCCGUGGGUUUCGUGCGAUACGCCAGUGUCAACAGUGUCUUACUGCGCCCGUCCAAGCUGCCUUUGUUUCCGCCUGCCUGCGCUCUCUCGUGAAAAGCCUGGUACUGGGGCUUCAUCUCAUUGUAUGGAAGAAUUUGUUGUAGGUUGUGCAUUCGUGGUGCUGUAGUUCAUCGGCAGCUCUACAGUGUUUUCGCCCGCAAGAGAGUUGGUGCCACGGUACCCGUGAGACGAAAGAGCGUUUGUUGACUACGUCUUGAAAGUUGAAGGCUGUGCGGAUUCUGGAGGCAUCCCACAGGAACCUGCAGCACUGCUGCAAGCUGGAGAGCACCACUAUAAAGCACCUGAUCUGCGUGCUUUUACAAAGGCUUGCAGCAAGAGGGAUAUCAAGAACAGGGGAGAUAUCCAGACCACAUUAUAGUCACUGCUUGCUUGUGGCUUCUUAGGGCAUGUAUGAAAGGGUUGGAAAAUAAACAUCAGUGUUUGAAAAGAUUGGUGUGUUUCACUAACAGGUACAUACUUUUAUAUGUUCAAGGUUGCAUCAGAGCACUACCAGACAAUUUUUAAAAAAUGCUGGAAAA